UACAGAGGGUGCGAGCGUUAAUCGGAAUGACUGGGCGUAAAGCGCAUGUAGGUGGUUUGAUAAGUUUGAUGUGAAAGCCCCGGGCUUAACCUGGGAACCGCGUUGAAGACUGUCAGGCUCGAGUCGAAGAGAGGGUUGUGGAAUUUCCGGUGUAGCGGUGAAAUGCGUAGAGAUCGGAAAGAACACCAGUGGCGAAGGCGGCAACCUGGCUUCAGACUGACACUGAGGUGCGAAAGCGUGGGGAGCAAACAGG
RNAcentral lists this ribosomal RNA (253 nucleotides) under uncultured bacterium. Its description in RNAcentral is "partial 16S ribosomal RNA". It matches the Rfam family "Bacterial small subunit ribosomal RNA", at positions 524 to 776 of the family's 1533-position model. The record is from RNAcentral.